GAAGUGAGUGUUCGAUUGGGUGGGGGGGGGUCGGGUAGGGAUGUCAAUGGGUAUGGAUAUCCGAAAUUUUAUCCGAACUCGAACUCGAAUGAAACGGAUAUAUUCAAUGCUAAACGGAUAUGGAUUCGGAUAUGAAUAUCAAAAAUAGAAGUCCGAUGGAUAUGGAUUCGGAUAUAGAUUUUGACUGUACCAGACCCGAACCUGAACCGACCCGAAUCCGAAUUUAUUUUGUAUUAUAUAUAUAUAUAUAUAUAUUACUAUAUAUAUAUAUAUAUAUAUAUAUAUAUAUAUAUAUAUAUAUAUAUAUAUAUAUUUGAUUUUAUAUUUGAAUUUGUAUUUUAAAAAUUUAGAUUUAAUAUAAUAUAUUUUGAAAUAUUGAAAAAAAAAUAAUUGUUUCGAGUUCAAAUUUCGGAUUCGGGUUUAGAUAUGAAUUUUUAAAAUCCGCCGAGUUCGGGUUUGGGUCUCGGGUUUGGAGUCGGGUUCGGGUUCGGAUUUUUGAAAAUCCGCUCCGAAUCCGACCGGUUGACAUUUCUAGGGGGGAUAAGGGCUUAUCCUCCUUUAUCCUCAAACAUUUUUUGGUGGAGGGGGGAUUAGCUAACCCCACCCCCCUCCCUUGGAAUUGGGGUGGGUUAGCUAAUUCUAUCCCAAUUUAAUUUUUUUAAAAAUUUAAAUUUAAAUUUUAAAUUUAAAGAAUUUAUAAUUUGUAAUCUUAAUAUUAAAAUUUUUAAUUUUUAAAUUUUAAAUUUAUAUUUUAAUUUUUUAAAAUUUAAAGUUUGAUUUUUUAGAUUUUUAAAUUUAGAUUUAAUCUUAAAUUUAAAAUUUAAAAUUUAAAAUUUAGAAUUUUGCAUUUUCAAAUUUGAGAUUUUAAAAUUUAAAACUUUGAAAUUUAAAAUUUAACUCAAAUUGCUAUAGUAGGAACUACAGGAAGAGUUUCAAAUGCGGAGUUGAAACUACACCCAAAUUAGCCGCAGUUCCAACUGCAGCAGUUGGAGAGAGUAAUGUAAACAAAAGAUAAGCUUACCUCCUUGAUUAUUUUUGAAACUUUUUUUUUUUUUUUUUUUUUUAUACGUUGGAGGUAAUUUCACUGUCAUAUAUAUAAAAUGAUAAAAUUUUAAAAUUAAUUUUCUAUUACAUGCAACCAAACAAAUUAUUUGUAGUUACAGCAGUUUCUACUCUAUCCAGCCAAAUAGGAUGUAUAUAAUUGCAACUGUCGUAUUUUCAACGAUAUACAUCUCCAAUCACUCUGUAUUUAUAAUUACGUCUAACCAAACGGUCCCUAAGAAGAGGAGAGAAAAGAAAGGAUCGCUGAGUUCAAUAAUCGGUUAAAAAUAGAAAUUCUUUUUAUCAAUUUUUUUUAAAAAA
Molecule: long non-coding RNA, 1362 nt
Filed under: Ananas comosus (pineapple)
Lineage: Eukaryota; Viridiplantae; Streptophyta; Magnoliopsida; Poales; Bromeliaceae
Description: long non-coding RNA (ACOM_LNC030118)
Source: RNAcentral